RNAcentral lists this ribosomal RNA (468 nucleotides) under uncultured bacterium. Its description in RNAcentral is "partial 16S ribosomal RNA". It matches the Rfam family "Bacterial small subunit ribosomal RNA", at positions 28 to 507 of the family's 1533-position model. The record is from RNAcentral.
GACGAACGCUGGCGGCGUGCUUAACACAUGCAAGUCGAACGGAAAGGCCCUGCUUUCGUGGGGUGCUCGAGUGGCGAACGGGUGUGUAACACGUGAGUAACCUGCCCUUGACUUUGGGAUAACUUCAGGAAACUGGGGCUACUACCUGAUAGGAGCGCCUGCUGCAUGGUGGGCGUUGGAACUUUUCGGCGGUUGGGGAUGGACUGGCGGGUUAUGAGCUUGUUGGUGGAGUAUUGGCCUACCAAGGCUUCGGCGGGUAGGCGGCAUGGGAGGGUGGUCGGGGACAUGGGGACUGAGAGACGGAGCAGAGGGCAACGGGGGGCAGCGGGGGGAAGUAUGGCACAAUGGGGCGAAGCGUGUGGAAGAAGCCUCGGGUGCGUGAAGACGGUCUUCGGGGGGUGAACCGCAGUCGGCUGAGACGAAGCGGGAGUGACGGUAAUGAGAGAAGAAGCACCGGCUAACUACGUG